ACAGUAUAAAUGCUAUCACCAUUUCAGUUAUUACCACCAGUGUCUUUUGGCAUCCCACGAAUUUUGGGGUUCACCUUUUCCUGCUGUUGAUUCUUUCUAGACUGGAAAGUCAUCUAUCAACAUCAGAGUGAUAGAAAUGCCCCGGCAAUGGCCAAAGCCCCUUCGUUUUCAUGUUCCUCAUUUCGCCUGGCCACCACCCCAUCCUCCCCUGUCUGUGCUCCCAUCAUUGCCAUGGCCAGAGCCCUAUCCUGUUGGAAUUACUAUGCAUGUUGCUACUGGCUACCCACUACGCCAGCAUCCUCCCCUGUCUGUUGGAGUCCCUGUAUCAGUUUUGGAAGUUGGCAGAUCACUAUAACUCCUGAGCAACAAGCCAAACCAGAGAUAUGGUAGGUUCUCAGGCCCUAGCUUUCCUCUGCCUUUAUCAGAAAUUCAUUUGCCACCGCUGAUGCAACCAAACUCAUUUCUUUACAAUCCCAAAACAAGCUCACAUCUCCUCUGGAGACGGGUGCUUUGCUGUGUGCAGGAUGAGCUCACCCCUUCAUUGAAUGGAAACAAGAUCAUCACAGGAAUGAAACAGAAUAGUACCCGAAUUGCACAAAAUGGAUUCACAGCUGAUGAUUGUAUGGGUUUAGGUGCCAGAAAUGUUGAGCCUCUCCAUCCAGAGAAACAAGAGCAGACUGGAUCGUCACCUCUGACACUCAUACCUACACCUGCCUGCUCAAAGCACCUCUCAGGUUUCCCUCCAACUCUCUUAGAUAUGGAGAUUUUUGCUUCCUUUCUUUCAAGGCAACCUGAAGGCAUUCUGACCAAAAUUCAAGGGAUCCCAAAUUCACUACUCAUUCUUUCAUGGAUUUCUGAAUAUUCCUCAGGGCUGCAAGAUUUAUAAUGCUUCCAGUUUGCUCUGUUAUUCUCUGUGUACCUAUUUCGUGUCUCAUGUUACUCAUUCAUCUGUCAUUUUACUCUUCUGUACAAAAUGCAUUCUUCACCUUUCUGAAGCUGCUCAUCAUGGAAAUGCUUUUCUGCACUCCUCUGUCCCCUACAAUAAAGCUUAUCUAUCUGCAUCAAAACGA
This is a long non-coding RNA of Rhineura floridana, 1070 nucleotides long. RefSeq lists it as uncharacterized. NCBI's taxonomy places the organism in Eukaryota, Metazoa, Chordata, Lepidosauria, Squamata, Rhineuridae. The record is from RefSeq and is a predicted model, not a curated record. The transcript is spliced from 2 exons.